GAGGUUGUGGCUCAGUGGUAGAGCUCUCGCCUAGCACCUGCUUGCCUAGUACCUGUGGGGCCCUGGGUUCAAUCCUCAGCACCACA
RNAcentral lists this transfer RNA (86 nucleotides) under Marmota monax (woodchuck). RNAcentral describes it as "tRNA.Ala". Lineage: Eukaryota; Metazoa; Chordata; Mammalia; Rodentia; Sciuridae. The record is from RNAcentral.